Molecule: ribosomal RNA, 713 nt
Filed under: uncultured bacterium
Lineage: Bacteria
Description: bacterial SSU rRNA
Rfam family: Bacterial small subunit ribosomal RNA
Source: RNAcentral
AGUGGCGGACGGGNGAGUAACGCGUAGGAAUCUACCUGAUAGUGGGGGAUAGCCCGAAUAAAUUCGGAUUAAUACCGCAUAAUCUAUUCGUAGUAAAGUGGGGGACUUUCGAGCCUCACGCUAUCAGAUGAGCCUGCGUAAGAUUAGCUAGUUGGUAGGGUAAAAGCCUACCAUGGCUACGAUCUUUAGCUGGUCUGAGAGGAUGAUCAGCCACAUCGGGACUGAGACACGGCCCGAACUCCUACGGGAGGCAGCAGUGGGGAAUAUUGGACAAUGGGGGCAACCCUGAUCCAGCAAUACCGCGUGUGUGAAGAAGGCCUGAGGGUUGUAAAGCACUUUCAAUUGUGAAGAAAAGCUAGUGGUUAAUAGCCAUUAGCCUUGACGUUAACUUUAGAAGAAGCACCGGCUAACUCCGUGCCAGCAGCCGCGGUAAUACGGAGGGUGCAAGCGUUAAUCGGAAUUACUGGGCGUAAAGCGUGCGUAGGCGGUUUAUUAAGUCAGAUGUGAAAGCCCCGGGCUUAACCUGGGAACUGCAUUUGAAACUGGUCAACUAGAGUAUGGUAGAGGAAAGUGGAAUUUCUGGUGUAGCGGUGAAAUGCGUAGAUAUCAGAAGGAACAUCAUUGGCGAAGGCAACUUUCUGGACCAAUACUGACGCUGAGGUACGAAAGCGUGGGUAGCAAACAGGAUUAUAUACCCUGGUAGUCCACGCCGA